AGUGAACGCUGGCGGUAGGCCUAACACAUGCAAGUCGAACGGCAGCACAGGAGAGCUUGCUCUCUGGGUGGCGAGUGGCGGACGGGUGAGGAAUACAUCGGAAUCUACUCUGUCGUGGGGGAUAACGUAGGGAAACUUACGCUAAUACCGCAUACGAACUACGGGUGAAAGCAGGGGACCUUCGGGCCUUUCGCGUGUGAAUGGGCCGAUGUCGGAUUAGCUAGUUGGCGGGGUAAAGGACCACCAAGGCGGCGAUCCGUAGCUGGUCUGAGGGGAUGAUCAGCCACACUGGAACUGAGACACGGUCCAGACUCCUACGGGAGGCAGCAGUGGGGAAUGUUGGACAAUGGGCGCAAGCCUGAUCCAGCCAUACCGCGUGGGUGAAGAAGGCCUUCGGGUUGUAAAGCCCUUUUGUUGGGAAAGAAAUCCAGCUGGCUAAUACCCGGUUGGGAUGACGGUACCCAAAGAAUAAGCACCGGCUAACUUCGUGCCAGCAGCCGCCGUAA
RNAcentral lists this ribosomal RNA (506 nucleotides) under uncultured bacterium. Its description in RNAcentral is "partial 16S ribosomal RNA". It matches the Rfam family "Bacterial small subunit ribosomal RNA", at positions 29 to 523 of the family's 1533-position model. The record is from RNAcentral.